Molecule: ribosomal RNA, 119 nt
Organism: Lepisosteus oculatus (spotted gar)
Lineage: Eukaryota; Metazoa; Chordata; Actinopteri; Semionotiformes; Lepisosteidae
Source: Ensembl
ACUAGCAGCCAUGUCACCCUGCAACUCACAACUGGCAACCCACUGAAGCGCAGCAGGUGUGAGCCUGGUCAGUACCUGGAAGGGAGACCACCUGGGAAAAACUAAGGUUGCUGCCGGAA